RNAcentral lists this ribosomal RNA (565 nucleotides) under Flavobacterium sp. FlavoEI_T110^3ED5_H08_64. Its description in RNAcentral is "bacterial SSU rRNA". It matches the Rfam family "Bacterial small subunit ribosomal RNA", at positions 66 to 633 of the family's 1533-position model. The record is from RNAcentral. Lineage: Bacteria; Pseudomonadati; Bacteroidota; Flavobacteriia; Flavobacteriales; Flavobacteriaceae.
GGGUAUUUAUCUUCGGAUAGAGAGACCGGCGCACGGGUGCGUAACGCGUAUGCAAUCUACCUUUUACAGAGGGAUAGCCCAGAGAAAUUUGGAUUAAUACCUCAUAGUAUAUAGACUCGGCAUCGAGAUUAUAUUAAAGUCACAACGGUAAAAGAUGAGCAUGCGUCCCAUUAGCUAGUUGGUAAGGUAACGGCUUACCAAGGCUACGAUGGGUAGGGGUCCUGAGAGGGAGAUCCCCCACACUGGUACUGAGACACGGACCAGACUCCUACGGGAGGCAGCAGUGAGGAAUAUUGGACAAUGGGCGCAAGCCUGAUCCAGCCAUGCCGCGUGCAGGAUGACGGUCCUAUGGAUUGUAAACUGCUUUUAUACGAGAAGAAACACUACUUCGUGAAGUAGCUUGACGGUAUCGUAAGAAUAAGGAUCGGCUAACUCCGUGCCAGCAGCCGCGGUAAUACGGAGGAUCCAAGCGUUAUCCGGAAUCAUUGGGUUUAAAGGGUCCGUANGCGGUUUAAUAAGUCAGUGGUGAAAGCCCAUCGCUCAACGGUGGAACGGCCAUUGAUAC